GGUGGCUCAGGGGUAGAGUGCUUGCCUUGCAUGCAUGAAGCCCUGGGUUCGAUUCCUCAGCACCA
RNAcentral lists this transfer RNA (65 nucleotides) under Dipodomys ordii (Ord's kangaroo rat). It matches the Rfam family "tRNA". Rfam says of the family: Transfer RNA (tRNA) molecules are approximately 80 nucleotides in length. Their secondary structure includes four short double-helical elements and three loops (D, anti-codon, and T loops). Lineage: Eukaryota; Metazoa; Chordata; Mammalia; Rodentia; Heteromyidae. The record is from Rfam by way of RNAcentral.